CCACUGCGGCGCCACGAUUCUGGCCACUCUAGAGACGCUACCGGGCUCGCUUGGCGACAGGUUCACAUGUUGACAUUGCGGCUUCCCAAGGCAUCUACUUUCGACCUGACCAACUCAAACGCGGUCGUCGUCACCGGUUGUGUCUGCGCAGCCGCAAUUGUGCGCCACGUCAGCAUCGGCCGAGGCCACGUGACCUGACACGCUACUCGGCACGCAUCGACAACAGGAGGCGCGGCACUCUUCGGCGGCGCUGAUAUCUGCAACAAAGGCCUGAUCUCGCCCAUUCCAGAGCUACAAAAGGAGCCUUCUUGCGCUGACUGCAUUCAGUUGGCAGUGGCGUCGACACUGGUGUGCAUCGCCUUACGCCUGCUAUUUCCUUCGGUGCAGGUUCAACAGCUUGCGAAUAUAGGAGGUCCAAACCUAGUCUUGCACACGCAGGGUUUUGAGAAGUGUGCUUUGUGACAACCUUGCAUCAACAUUGUCAUGGCACGGACAAGAGUGGAAGAAUGCCUUUGAUUGUCUGCUCCUCUCCAAGUGCAUUGUUGGCAUUUUAACAAAAGCUGUGACAAAAUAUGCAGUAAAGGUCACUCACCCCUAAAUGCGACAAUUUUGUAGUGGAAAGCACAACCAAAGACUGUGUCGGUCAUGCCCCCGCAAGAUGUGCAUCAGAAAAGCCAGCCAGCUGUCCCCUUGGCCAGCGACUAGACCAGCGAUUCAGACAGCGGCUAGACAUGCGAUUCAGCAAGUUACUAGACUAGUCAUCCAACCAACCGUGAAUGUUACUUGUAGGUGACUUUUUUAAGCCGAUACAGUGUCACUUUCUUUCUUGCUCUUCUGCCUCUGAAUGCCUAGCUUAGCAGCUGCUGUGACACUGCUGUGGUUUUGUAGUGUCUGAGUCUCCUUGAAGACAUCUAACAACGCUUUCCAUGAAGCGACCUAGUAUAUAGAUAAAGCGACAAUAAUGCAUGCAGCUUGGUGUGCAGAAGCUACCUUUGUAGGAGCUGAGAUGGGAGAUGUUUUUAUAGGUCUCGUUAUGGAUCGUUUUGUUGUGGCACCCAUUCUUAAAAACUGAAUAUAUAGCUAAUCGCCUCGCAAUGUGCAAAAUGUUUUGAGGUUUUUUAUCCAUGUAGAAUUAAAUUUCCACUUUCUGAAA
Long non-coding RNA from Dermacentor andersoni, 1153 nucleotides. RefSeq lists it as uncharacterized. Lineage: Eukaryota; Metazoa; Arthropoda; Arachnida; Ixodida; Ixodidae. The record is from RefSeq and is a predicted model, not a curated record.